UUUUGUUAGGGAAGAAAAGGAUAGUGUUAAUCCCAUUAUUUGCUGACGGUACCUAAAGAAUAAGCACCGGCUAACUACGUGCCAGCAGCCGCGGUAAUACGUAGGGUGCGAGCGUUAAUCGGAAUUACUGGGCGUAAAGCGAGCGCAGACGGUUUAUUAAGCAAGAUGUGAAAUCCCCGAGGCUUAACUUGGGAGCUGCGUUUUGAACUGGUAAGCUAGAGUAUGUCAGAGGGGGGUAGAAUUCCACGUGUAGCAGUGAAAUGCGUAGAGAUGUGGAGGAAUACCGAUGGCGAAGGCAGCCCCCUGGGAUAAUACUGACGUUCAUGCUCGAAAGCGUGGGUAGCAAACAGGAUUAGAUACCCUGGUAGUCCACGCCCUAAACGAUGUCAAUUAGCUGUUGGGGCACUUGAUGCCUUAGUAGCGAAGCUAACGCGUGAAAUUGACCGCCUGGGGAGUACGGUCGCAAGAUUAAAACUCAAAGGAAUUGACGGGGACCCGCACAAGCGGUGGAUGAUGUGGAUUAAUUCGAUGCAACGCGAAGAACCUUACCUGGUCUUGACAUGUACGGAAUCUUCCAGAGACGGAAGAGUGCCUUCGGGAGCCGUAACACAGGUGCUGCAUGGCUGUCGUCAGCUCGUGUCGUGAGAUGUUGGGUUAAGUCCCGCAACGAGCGCAACCCUUGUCAUUAGUUGCCACCAUUUAGUUGGGCACUCUAAUGAGACUGCCGGUGACAAACCGGAGGAAGGUGGGGAUGACGUCAAGUCCUCAUGGCCCUUAUGACCAGGGCUUCACACGUCAUACAAUGGUCGGUACAGAGGGUAGCCAAGCCGCGAGGUGGAGCCAAUCUCAGAAAACCGAUCGUAGUCCGGAUUGCACUCUGCAACUCGAGUGCAUGAAGUCGGAAUCGCUAGUAAUCGCAGGUCAGCAUACUGCGGUGAAUACGUUCCCGGGUCUUGUACACACCGCCCGUCACACCAUGGGAGUGGGGGAUACCAGAAGUAGGUAGGCUAACCGCAAGGAGGCCGCUUACCACGGUAUGUUUCAUGACUGGGGUGAAGUCGUAACAAGGUAACC
This 1074-nucleotide ribosomal RNA is filed under the name uncultured Kingella sp. RNAcentral's name for it is "bacterial SSU rRNA". It matches the Rfam family "Bacterial small subunit ribosomal RNA", at positions 434 to 1501 of the family's 1533-position model. Lineage: Bacteria; Pseudomonadati; Pseudomonadota; Betaproteobacteria; Neisseriales; Neisseriaceae. The record is from RNAcentral.